RNAcentral lists this transfer RNA (82 nucleotides) under Serratia fonticola. RNAcentral describes it as "tRNA-Gly(gcc)". The record is from RNAcentral. Lineage: Bacteria; Pseudomonadati; Pseudomonadota; Gammaproteobacteria; Enterobacterales; Yersiniaceae.
AUCGCGGUUGACGAAGUUAUUGUGAGUUGCCAACUCACGGGUCAGGGCAGUUUCUGGUCAGCGUUCGAUCUCUGCGGUGAUC